Molecule: transfer RNA, 65 nt
Filed under: Botrylloides nigrum
Lineage: Eukaryota; Metazoa; Chordata; Ascidiacea; Stolidobranchia; Styelidae
Description: transfer RNA-Gln
Source: RNAcentral
UAAGUAGUAGUUUAAGGAAAAUGUUAUAUUUUGAGUGUAAAGCUAAUUUAAGAGAUUCUAUUUAA